RNAcentral lists this ribosomal RNA (263 nucleotides) under uncultured archaeon. RNAcentral's name for it is "partial 16S ribosomal RNA". It matches the Rfam family "Archaeal small subunit ribosomal RNA", at positions 718 to 982 of the family's 1478-position model. The record is from RNAcentral.
AGUCACUGACAUUAGAUACCCCGGUAGUCCAGGGUGUAAACGCUGCAGACUUGGUGUUGGGGCCCUUUGGGGCAUUCAGUGCCGGAGAGAAGUUGUUAAGUCUGCUACUUGGGGAGUACGUCCGCAAGGAUGAAACUUAAAGGAAUUGGCGGGGGAGCACCGCAACGGGAGGAGCGUGCGGUUUAAUUGGAUUCAACACCGUAAAACUCACCAGGGAAGACUGUUACAUGAAGGCCGAGAUGAAGACUCUGCUAGAUUUUCAG